CGCCCCCGCCUUUGUGUGCCGCGGCGGCGGCGCGGGGCCGGGCUUGCUCGAGCCCCCGGAGCGCGGGCACCGCCGCCCCCCGCCCCAGCCGUGCGCGCUCACCGUCGGAGCUGACGGUGUCGUAGGAGUCACCAGGGGCGGGCACCGCGGCCGGCUCCCGGUAGUCCACCCAGCUGAGCCCUUCUACGCUGUCGUACUCGGCGCGGGGCUUGUCCUCCACCGGCACCACAGUGAAGUGCGGCAUGGCUGGCGGGGCGAUCACACAGGAGUCUAUGGAAGGAUACAAAGCUUAGCGUGGAGGAAGAGUCUAGGACUAAACAUUUCCUGUGCUCAGAACCACCUUAUUCCCAGCUUUCUGAAUUUGUCCUGCCUUUUUGACAAAGCAACCCCCAGGUCACUGGGAGAAAGAGAAAUUUGUAAUGAGCAGAAGAGAAACCAACAUGAGGGAGAAUGCUUUGUUCAGGAGAACUAAGUCUACUUUUAAUUAGAGUUGGAGAAAGAAGUGCUUUAUGAAAACAUAUAGACCAGGUGCUGACAAUGGGCUUCAGAGGAAAAUACCAGAUAUAGAGAGGAAAGAAUCAUCCUAAUGGAGUUUACAAAACCAUUUGGGGAGAAGCAACAGAAACAGAGCAAAAUUAAGUGCCCUCUCACCUGAGUUAUAAUUGUUGAGGCCAGAGCCUUGAUUAGAACCUGCAACAUUUCUCUGAUGUAAGCUAAAUGCAGAUCUUUGUUUACUUUGCUUUUGCUUCCCCUCCACUAUUUGUUGACCCAUGAGAGAAGCAACUGACCAAGUAAAAGAGGGGUUGGUUGUUGCUUUUGCUCUGAAAAAAAAGCCAAACAAAAACUUCACAGGUUGUAGGAAUUUCUCAAAAAGUGCAAAAAAAAAGUGCAGACACUGUGGAAAGAAUUGACACCAUUGCAAUGAGUGCCAGGAAGCAGAACAGGCUACAAGCAGCUCAUCUGGUAAUACUGGACUAAGCGACUGAGAGGUUCUGUCUCAGUCACCGAAGAUCCUGGACAUUUGUGAAGUACAGAAAUGAAACGAAAAUGCUUCCCACUACCACAAAUUUUGGUUUUCCUCUAUUUCCUUCCCAUUUCCUAAUGAAGUUAUAAAUAAACAUGAAGGUUAGUAAAAAUCUCUGGUUUCAGAACAUAAAAAAAGUAAAAUUAUAGGAGAACCAAAACAACCAUUCCCAUCUCAAGUUCUUCUACAUAGGUGUAAAGUUUGUAGGUAAGGUAGCAAGACAAAAAUCAAGACCAGAUUAAAAAAAAAAACCAAAAAAAACAGAGAAACAAUUCUUGAAACACUGAAUCAAGCUUUCCAGAACAGUCCAAGAAGGGUUAUCCAGCAUCACAGUCUGUUCUGAAAAUAGUUCAGCAGAUCCACUCUGGGUCUGCAAAUUCAAUCCAACAAAUCUUGAGUAACUGAAAGUCACUGUUAGUGGGAAGACUCUUUGGGUUAUUUAAUUUUUUUUUUGUUGUAGUUUAGACUUGUUACAUUUUCAGAAUUUGAAACAAUUUGAUCAUUUCCAUAUAUAUAAAUCCAGAGAAGAACAGAGCUGCUGCUUUCAAUAGCAAAUGGAAGAAAUCCAAGUUGUUGCAGUCCCACUUUGCUUUUUCCCUCCUCCCCUCCCCUAACACUGAGCACAGUCAACCCAAUCACUGACACGGUCAGCAGGAAACUCAUCCCUUGACAGAGUAAAACAGUUUGCAGCUAGACCAGUUCCCUGAACCAGCACACUGUAUAGUUACACAAACACCAGUGCUGUCUCAGGGGACAGGGAGACAACAUGCAGCCAAGAAACAGAGCAGGAGUGCAGCAGAGCAGCCAGAGCUGGCAUAAACUGCUGUGGCACUGCAGAGGGGAGAAGGAUGUAAUGAUACCUGGCUUUUCAAAGUUGGUUCUGUGGAGCAGAUGCCUACUGAACCUCA
Molecule: long non-coding RNA, 1932 nt
Organism: Pipra filicauda (Wire-tailed manakin)
Lineage: Eukaryota; Metazoa; Chordata; Aves; Passeriformes; Pipridae
Exons: 3
Source: RefSeq, a predicted model, not a curated record